This 639-nucleotide ribosomal RNA is filed under the name Crepidotus malachioides. RNAcentral's name for it is "eukaryotic LSU rRNA". It matches the Rfam family "Eukaryotic large subunit ribosomal RNA", at positions 1 to 624 of the family's 3401-position model. Lineage: Eukaryota; Fungi; Basidiomycota; Agaricomycetes; Agaricales; Crepidotaceae. The record is from RNAcentral.
UGGCCUCAAAUCAGGUAGGACUACCCGCUGAACUUAAGCAUAUCAAUAAGCGGAGGAAAAGAAACUAACAAGGAUUCCCCUAGUAACUGCGAGUGAAGCGGGAAAAGCUCAAAUUUGAAAUCUGGCAGUCUUUGAUUGUCCGAGUUGUAAUCUAGAGAAGUGUUACCCGUGUUGGACCGUGUAUAAGUCUCCUGGAAUGGAGCGUCAUAGAGGGUGAGAAUCCCGUCUUUGACACGGACUACCAAGACUUUGUGGUGCGCUCUCAAAGAGUCGAGUUGUUUGGGAAUGCAGCUCAAAAUGGGUGGUAAAUGCCAUCUAAAGCUAAAUACAGGCGAGAGACCGAUAGCGAACAAGUACCGUGAGGGAAAGAUGAAAAGAACUUUGGAAAGAGAGUUAAACAGUACGUGAAAUUGCUGAAAGGGAAACGCUUGAAGUCAGUCGCAUUGGCUGGGAAUCAACCUUGCUUUUGCUUGGUGUACUUUCUAGUUGAUGGGUCAACAUCAAUUUUGACCAAUGGAUAAAAGUGAUGGGAAUGUGGCAUCCUUGGAUGUGUUAUAGCCUGUUGCUGCAUACAUUGGUUGGGAUUGAGGAAUUCAGCACGCCGCAAGGCCGGGUUUCGACCACGUUCGUGCUUAGGAU